CCUGCUGUCGUCCCUCAGCUGGUGGCAAUCAACUGAGGCCCUGAUCUUUCAGUAACCAGACAUAGAAAGAUUGUGCUCAUGAAGUUCUAAGUUUUAAUUUAGCACUGUUAAACAAAGUUCCACUCACACAAGACAUUUGGAGCUUCUCUUUUCUUGCCUUGUAGAGGAAGGAAAGCAGAUCCCUUCCCAGAGUGACCUACAUAGACUUUUGUUACAGAUAACCGCAUCACCACUCUGGUCCAGAUUAAUUUGCAAUGCAAAGCCUACCUGGGGACACAGUACAGCACACUUCUCUCAGAGCCUUUCAGCAUUGCCGACCUCUGACCUUCACAAAGCACCACCCACCUUAGGAGCUGAACAUGUGACGGGCUGUAAUACAUCUACAUCCCAAUCCAGCAGGUUCCCCCCUGACCAGAGCUCACUCUGCUUCACACACACAGUUUGUCACUAUCUCAUCAAACGCAGUGUCCCGGGUCUCAUCGGCUUUCCCCAGCUUUUGCAUCACCUGCAGAAGGAGGCAACAGGAGCACAUUAAUCCAUCAGUGAAUUAUCCAUUGAUCUGUCUGUGUUUUUAUUCAUGGUGCUUUAUAUUCAGAUCUAUGAGUGGAAACAUGUGUCCGUCUAUUUUCAGGCUGCCUGUGGAAGCCACGUGUCUCCACUACGUCUGAGCUUUUAAAUGCAUUUGUAAUGUUGGUGUUAUGAGAAAGAGGAGAAAUGAAGACGUUUGAUUUGUUAGCUGCACAAGGUCACAGUUAAUCUGAUCUAAACAAGAGCUGCGACACCACCAGCACCACCUGCUGCCAUAAUCCUGUGACAGAUACACAAACCACAGCAACACGACAACGGGACUUCCCCUGUGCUGCCACACACACACACAGCUGCUCUCUGAGAAUCCACACAUCCACACACACAUCAGAGUCUAUUUUGCAACCUCAGUGUAGCAGGGAAUAAAAACAGCAAAAAUGUUACAAACACUGUGUGAAGGAAAGAUUAAUUAAAGUGAAAGUAGUACAUGAGUAAAUGUCCUAAAGCAAAUCUCUUGUCUUGUAUUUAUAUGUACCAGAGUUUUAGAUGAUGUUGUUGUCCUGUAAAAUAAUUAUUGCAUCAGAUAUAAGCAAUAAGGGGAUUCUCUGUGUCUCUUGAGGCUUAUAGAAAAAUGAAUUUCUGAUUAGAUGUCCUGUGUUUAAAAUGUGGAAUGUUGUAUAUCAAUAUUUUGAGAAAAGCAUAUUCAUUUUUGUUGUGAAAGUACAAAAGAAACAUUAAAGGUGCAUGUCUCAUUAA
This is a long non-coding RNA of Notolabrus celidotus (New Zealand spotty), 1281 nucleotides long. RefSeq lists it as uncharacterized. The record is from RefSeq and is a predicted model, not a curated record. NCBI's taxonomy places the organism in Eukaryota, Metazoa, Chordata, Actinopteri, Labriformes, Labridae. The transcript has 3 exons.